RNAcentral lists this ribosomal RNA (467 nucleotides) under uncultured bacterium. Its description in RNAcentral is "partial 16S ribosomal RNA". It matches the Rfam family "Bacterial small subunit ribosomal RNA", at positions 28 to 507 of the family's 1533-position model. The record is from RNAcentral.
GACGAACGCUGGCGGCGUGCUUAACACAUGCAAGUCGAACGGAAAGGCCUCUUUCGGGGGGUACUCGAGUGGCGAACGGGUGAGUAACACGUGAGUAACCUGCCCUUGACUUUGGGAUAACUUCAGGAAACUGGGGCUAAUACCGGAUAGGAGCUCCUGCUGCAUGGUGGGGGUUGGAAAGUUUCGGCGGUUGGGGAUGGACUCGCGGCUUAUCAGCUUGUUGGUGGGGUAGUGGCUUACCAAGGCUUUGACGGGUAGCCGGCCUGAGAGGGUGACCGGCCACAUUGGGACUGAGAGACGGCCCAGACUCCUACGGGUGGCAGCAGUGGGGAAGAUUGCACAAUGGGUGGAAGCCUGAUGCAGCAACGCCGUGUGCGGGAUGACGGCCUUCGGGUUGUAAACCGCUUUCGCUCAUGACGAAGCUUUGUGUGACGGUAGUGGGUAAAGAAGCACCGGCUAACUACGUG